UGUGCAAAGGUAGCAUAACUCAUUAGUCUUUUAAUUUAGGACUGGAAUGAAUGGUUUAGCUAAAUAUUCAUGUCUCAUUAUUAUAUUUCAAAUUUUAUNUUUUAGUAAAAAAGCUAAAAUUUAUAUUAAAGACAAGAAGGCCCUAUUAAGCUUUAUAAUUGCAAUUUAAUAUCAGUAUAAAUUAAAAAUUAUUUUACUGGGGCAGUAGAUAAAUUAAAUUUUAUUUUAGUAAUGUGAGCCAAUUCUUAAAAAAUCAAGAAAUUUUUAAAAAGGAAUAAGUUACUAUAGGGAUAACAGCAUUAUUUUCUUAAAGAGUUCUUAUCCUCAAGAAAGUUUGUGACCUCGAUGUUGGAUUAAGAUACCUUUUUUGUGCAAUAACAAAAUUAAGG
RNAcentral lists this ribosomal RNA (389 nucleotides) under Euscorpius carpathicus candiota. RNAcentral describes it as "partial large subunit ribosomal RNA". Lineage: Eukaryota; Metazoa; Arthropoda; Arachnida; Scorpiones; Euscorpiidae. The record is from RNAcentral.